RNAcentral lists this ribosomal RNA (777 nucleotides) under uncultured Neocallimastigales. RNAcentral's name for it is "partial large subunit ribosomal RNA". It matches the Rfam family "Eukaryotic large subunit ribosomal RNA", at positions 26 to 644 of the family's 3401-position model. Lineage: Eukaryota; Fungi; Neocallimastigomycota; Neocallimastigomycetes; Neocallimastigales. The record is from RNAcentral.
CGCAUCUGUGCAUGCAGCAUAUCAAUAAGCGGAGGAAAAGAAACUAACAAGGAUUCCCCUAGUAACGGCGAGUGAAGCGGGAAGAGCUCAAAUUUGAAAUCUUAAAGGGUUUCCCUUUACGAAUUGUAGUUUAAAGAAGUGUCUUCUGUUGAGGUUUUGGUAAAAGUUCUUUGGAAUAGGACAUCAUAGAGGGUGAGAAUCCCGUAUUUGACCAUUACUUUUCAACUUUGUGAUACACUUUCAAAGAGUCGGAUUGUUUGGGAAUGCAGUCCAAAAUGGGUGGUAAAUUUCAUCUAAAGCUAAAUAUUGGCGAGAGACCGAUAGCGAACAAGUACCGUGAGGGAAAGACUGAAAAGAACUUUGAAAAGAGAGUUAAACAGUACGUGAAAUUGUCAAAAGGGAAGCGUUUGACACCAGUGUUGUUUUUCUGAAAAUCAAUUAAAGAACUGUUUAUGCUAAGCUGUUUAGACUUUAUCAGCUAUCUGUUUAGUUUUGAGCUUUUCUUUAAUGCACUUUUCAGUUAACAAGUCAACAUCAAUUUCUUUUGCUGUAAAAAAGCUUGAGGAAGGUGGCUUGAGAUUCGUCUUAAGUGUUUAUAGCCUCUUGCCUAUGCAGUCGGAGAGAUUGAGGUCUGCAGCGUAGAUCCUUCGGGGCUAAAUGCAUUUGUGCUAAGUUAUAGGCAUUUUAUAGACAACUUGUUGACUAUGAUUUGUCUUGUAGCUUACUCGCUUAUGUUAUUUUACCUACGCUUAGGAUGUUGAAUCUGUGCGAGACUAC